Molecule: ribosomal RNA, 797 nt
Filed under: Botrytis cinerea
Lineage: Eukaryota; Fungi; Ascomycota; Leotiomycetes; Helotiales; Sclerotiniaceae
Description: eukaryotic LSU rRNA
Rfam family: Eukaryotic large subunit ribosomal RNA (bases 456-797)
Source: RNAcentral
UUACAGAGUUCAUGCCCGAAAGGGUAGACCUCCCACCCUUGUGUAUUAUUACUUUGUUGCUUUGGCGAGCUGCCUUCGGGCCUUGUAUGCUCGCCAGAGAAUACCAAAACUCUUUUUAUUAAUGUCGUCUGAGUACUAUAUAAUAGUUAAAACUUUCAACAACGGAUCUCUUGGUUCUGGCAUCGAUGAAGAACGCAGCGAAAUGCGAUAAGUAAUGUGAAUUGCAGAAUUCAGUGAAUCAUCGAAUCUUUGAACGCACAUUGCGCCCCUUGGUAUUCCGGGGGGCAUGCCUGUUCGAGCGUCAUUUCAACCCUCAAGCUUAGCUUGGUAUUGAGUCUAUGUCAGUAAUGGCAGGCUCUAAAAUCAGUGGCGGCGCCGCUGGGUCCUGAACGUAGUAAUAUCUCUCGUUACAGGUUCUCGGUGUGCUUCUGCCAAAACCCAAAUUUUUCUAUGGUUGACCUCGGAUCAGGUAGGGAUACCCGCUGAACUUAAGCAUAUCAAUAAGCGGAGGAAAAGAAACCAACAGGGAUUACCUCAGUAACGGCGAGUGAAGCGGUAAAAGCUCAAAUUUGAAAUCUGGCUCUUUUAGAGUCCGAAUUGUAAUUUGUAGAAGAUGCUUCGGGUGUGGUUCCGGUCUAAGUUCCUUGGAACAGGACGUCAUAGAGGGUGAGAAUCCCGUAUGUGACUGGAUACCUAUGCUCAUGUGAAGCUCUUUCGACGAGUCGAGUUGUUUGGGAAUGCAGCUCAAAAUGGGAGGUAUAUUUCUUCUAAAGCUAAAUAUUGGCCAGAGACCGAUA